UCCCCAGUGGCUCAGAUGGUAAAGAAUCUGCCUGCAAUGCAGGAGAUGCAGGUUUGAUCCCUGCAUCGGGAA
This is a non-coding RNA of Bos taurus (domestic cattle), 72 nucleotides long. Lineage: Eukaryota; Metazoa; Chordata; Mammalia; Artiodactyla; Bovidae. The record is from Rfam.